Molecule: long non-coding RNA, 669 nt
Filed under: Lactuca sativa (garden lettuce)
Lineage: Eukaryota; Viridiplantae; Streptophyta; Magnoliopsida; Asterales; Asteraceae
Description: long non-coding RNA (LSAT_LNC006261)
Source: RNAcentral
UCCUCAAUAACUAAUGUUGAUCCUUUUCCAGGGAAACACCAUAACCUUCAUUUUAAAUGCCUAAUUAUACUAGUAGUCUAGGGAGAUAAUCAUCAACUAAAUAAUACAUCCAACAUAUUUCUGAAUUUCUUGAGAUUGCACCAAAUCAGAUUUCAGAAAAAGAAAAAAAACAAAUUUUCACCUCAAUUCCAUUCCUGUGCAGUAAAAUUGAAAGUGGUCAAACAACCCUAGCAGCCGAUCAGACUUCAAAAUCGUGUAUCAUAGCUAAUAACAAAUUAGGGGGAAUGGUUUCAUGUGUAGACUAGAAGAAUAGAUUUCACAGAAAUCGAUUUUAGAAAAUUAGAGAUAAACAAACCCUGUGUAUCAAGGCGGUUCAGUGGCUAUCGUCAGCGCUGUCGAGGGCAGAUACCAUCACUGGCGACGAUGGCAUUGUUGAAGACUCGUGUGUGUGUGAGGUCGAAGAUGGGGGCGGCUAUGUUGUCCGAGGUCAACAACGGGAAGAUGUUGGCGGAUUUGGUCGGUGAUGAGAGGAGAUGAUCGACGCUGGAGUUGUUCGGAUGUGGGAAAAGAACAACGGGACGAUGAAUCGUAGAAUCGAUGUGUGUUGAUGGACGAAUGUGUUUGAGGGCAAAAGAGGGAAGAGCGUGUUUCUUUUUUAUUCAAAUAUAA